Molecule: transfer RNA, 71 nt
Filed under: Chelonia mydas (Green sea turtle)
Lineage: Eukaryota; Metazoa; Chordata; Testudines; Cheloniidae
Rfam family: tRNA
About the family: Transfer RNA (tRNA) molecules are approximately 80 nucleotides in length. Their secondary structure includes four short double-helical elements and three loops (D, anti-codon, and T loops).
Source: Rfam by way of RNAcentral
GGAAGGAUGGUCUUGUGGUUAAGGCACCAGACUGGGGCUCAGGAGGUCUGGGUACAACUCCUGGUCUGCCA